Molecule: long non-coding RNA, 2268 nt
Filed under: Nicotiana benthamiana
Lineage: Eukaryota; Viridiplantae; Streptophyta; Magnoliopsida; Solanales; Solanaceae
Description: long non-coding RNA (NBEN_LNC037805)
Source: RNAcentral
CUUCAUCAGUUCCUCACUCAUGUUCUCUUUGUAAACCGUAGUCCCGCCACUCUAAAUCCCUCCACCAGCUCCACUGGUGGCGGGGCCCAAUAUACCCCAAGUACCUACAAUACAACCAUUACCUACCCCUGAUUCCUAAUCUAUCACCACAUCUCCCAAAAUCUUUGCCAAAACCGGAAACUUUAGAUCUAAAAAAAAAGAGAAAUCUUCUAAUUCUUCAAGUUUCCAAGAGCGAUUGAGCCUGAAAUUUGUAAUGAUUGUCUGUUCUCGGUGAGUAUAUGCGAUUAAUACCAAUUUUGGUUAUAAUUAGAGAACACCGGAAGUCUGUCCAAGCCUACUGUCCGUCUACCUAAGUUAGGUAUUUCCAUUCAUUUUUUUCUUCUUUCUUUUUCGCCUUUUGUUUUAUUCCCAUCUCCUUCUGACUCUUUCUUUCUCUUUCCUGCUUUUCUGUUUUAAAUCGUUUCUGUUUGCAUGUUAAUACUAAGCCAUAUUAGUUUAUAGUUUGAGUUUAAUAAUACGAUUAAUAUGUUAUUGGUUUUUGAUUUUGUGGUUGAUUUUUACCAAUUCUCUUUUUGUUUUGUUUUGUGGGAAUUCUGAUAUUAGGAGUUAUCAUCUUUAGUUGUUUCUCCAAUUCUGUGCAUAAUUUCUUAAUUGCUUGGCCAGCAAUUGAGUUCUGUUGACUAUCUAUGCUAUGCUUAGGAAAUCCGUGUUUAGAUUAAAGUAGAAUUAGAGAGAGUUUGUUUCUGAACCCAUGGCUCGAGGAAAGAUUUCGCAGUUAAUAUAGUAUAUACCUAACAGUGUUGCUUAGUUGAAUACGAUAUUAUAUUCAUUCAUGACAGAUUCAAGACCAUUGGUAUAUAGGGUUUAAAUUAUGGAUAGACGGAUAGUAUUGCGGGGACAUACAAUUUAUAUAAAUGAUCAGGUCAACUAGAAAUCAUAAAUAAUUUAGAUUCAAAUAUGUACAUACAAACUCAAUAGGAUUGAUAAACCAACCAUAACCCUGGACGUUAUAUCUCCCUUGGUGAUGUGUUUAAUUUUCGCAAUACUAGUUUGUCCGCAAACCUUGACUCUCCUCCCAUCUCCCUCAGUCUUAUUUAUUCAGUUUUAGUUUUUCUUUCAUAGUAUUGCAAACUUGUGUUGUAUAAAUGCUCAUGUACUCACUGACACCCUGGUUUUAGAAAAAUUUAUGUAUUAAAUUAUAUCAUUUUAUCCAAUUUUAUAAGAAUUUGACUUAUUAAAAACCUGAUUUAGUAAAUUUUAAAUUUGAAAGUGUUGGUAAUUUCCGAGGUGUCGGCUUGCCUAGAACCAUGAUAGGUGCCAUUAGGAUAGGUUGCAUUUUGGGUCAUGAUAAUUUGAUAUCAAAUCCUAGGUUACCUAGGUCUCACGAGUCUUAAGUAGGUUUAGUAGAGUUAUACAGAUCGAUACAGAGAUGUGUGUACUUAUCUUUGAGGGCUACCGAUCCCUUAGGAAAACUUCACAUUCUUUUAUUAUUGACAUGCAGAUUUGUUAAUUGUGGGAACUAAACUUCUAUUAUUCUACUCUUUUAGAGGUGGUGAAUCCAUGUGCUACCGAAUUGGACGGACAACCACCAGUAUCACCAGCUAAGACCACGAGAAGGGUUGCGGUAGGCACCGUAAUUGGGGCAGAGGUGCAACUCAUCAACACCUUGAGAAGGACCUUUAGAUUCACCAAGUGAUCCGUCUUAGGAGCAGGUACCAGAUAUAGUUGAGCCAUUGGGUCCAGCUUAGGCAUUUCUUGUUCCCAUUGUGAUUCCAGAACUUUAGGAGGCUUUGGCUCAGAUUUUGACUAUGCGCCCUAGCCUUGCUCAAGCUAUAUGGUUGCAAAGUAUUUUGUGCAGACCGCAUUGAGGUUAUUGUGGAUGCACUCAAUUUCGUGCAGUUUGCAAAGCCAAAGAUCGGAGAGUUUCCAAGUUGGAGGAUGAUGCGUAAUACGGUUCGCAGUCCAUUUUGUGUGGACCGCAAUAGAAGCCACUGCGGCGGCGGUGCAUUUUGUGUGGUCCGUGGUGGACAACUUUAGAGAGCAAAUUAGUCAGCCAAGAGACUUAGUGCGGCCGCGCUCAAUUUUGUGCAGACCACACGAGCCCCGCAGGGGUGUUUUUGUCCAGAAUUUUCAACCUAGUAUAUAUAUUUUCUUUUCCCAUUUUUAGGUCAUCAGUUGUAUUUGGACGAAGAGUUGCGCUUGUGAAUAGUUCUCUUUUACCAUUUUGAGUAAUUUUAGCUUAAUUUCAUCAUUGAAUCUUCAAGUUUU